Molecule: small RNA, 58 nt
Filed under: Arabidopsis thaliana (thale cress)
Lineage: Eukaryota; Viridiplantae; Streptophyta; Magnoliopsida; Brassicales; Brassicaceae
Description: ATSL086530
Source: RNAcentral
UCCUUUGCCAGCCUAGACGCACCUGCUUCUUGUGUGUUCCCACUUGACUUGUUCUUCU